GUCUGCCCGGGAGGAGUGGAUUUAGGCCCAGGCCAGACUCCAGGUCCUUCCUGGAGUUUUCUGGGGAAGCCAUUUUGGUGGCGAUUUGGCAACCAGAAGGAAUGGGGGCAGCAGCCGACGGUGAGAGCAGGACCAGGCGCGCGCACUCUCUCACACGGUCUCUCAACACCAAGGCUUCCUGAGGCGGCCAUCUUGAUAGUGCCCAUCCCCCCCCAGAUGGCUCUUAUUCCACAGAGGAGCCAGGAGUGGGCCACCAGGUGGCACUCUCGGGCACCGAUGCGGGGAGCCGUUCAGCGGGGAUGCUAAGACUAUAUUUAACUUUCCUCGGCUCUGCGCGGUCCGCCAGGCAAACAUGGAGACAGCCAGGAAAUGGCUUCAGGCCUGCAAGGCCUGGGAGGAGCCUCUUGCCCAGGCUGUAGCCCGAGGCAGGGUUGGGCAUCGGGUUCCUUCUCAGAUCCUUUCGCCGUCUCUGCUGUUGCCUCUUACUCUGUUCUGUUGGAUCAAAUCCUCUUGGCUGGGUGGGGGAGAUGGUGCCUUAGGCCCAGAAGACAAGGUCUCCACCACAAAUUUUGCAAAAAUCUCCUCCAGAUCCUUGUGUCCCCAGCAUUGUUGCCAGCCAGGUGUGGGCCCCUGAGGAGCAAUGAUAGAACUUUCUGGAAGCUCCCAGCACCCUCGGUUUAAGGCCUGAAGGCCCAAAGCGUAGAGCUCCAUAUUGUGAUCAGGACCCGUGUCUCGGCUGGACCCAGUGGGGUAGAUUUGUGCGCCUGUGAAGCACGUGUCCGGAGAAGUGUUUCUGAGAGCCCAGGGGAGGAAUGGUCACGGCAGCCCUCUACGUUUAUUGAACACCUACUUGGUGCCACGCACAGUGCAAAGUGCAUUUCCCGUAUCAGCCCAUUUCUCCUUGAGUCAGGCCAACGUGACGGGCACCCCGUCAUCCCCAUUCAUUCAAUAGGCCUCCCUUGUGCCACCCUUGGGGACACAACAGUGAACAAGACAGAAGUGUUCCCAAGAGGACCUGUGUGUGUUUUGCUCUUGAGAACCAAUUUUCUAGUUUGGGUGUGGGUCUGGGUGGGAGCUGGGUAAUGAGACAGACUUUGAACAGCCCGGACAGCCCUUUCUUCAUCACCGGCCAUUGGACACCUGCCCCUGACUGGGUGCCGUGGUGAGCCCGAGGAUGAGAAGGAAGUGGACCAUGUCUCCCUUCCCUCUGUGAGAGGAGCCCACUGUGUGUGACCAGCGCUGUCAUCCAGUGUGGCAGCCCUCGCCUGAAGGUGUGUUCAAGGUGCAAAAGGAGACUGCAAAGGUUUUGAAGAGGGAGGGUCUAGAAGGAACUGGGCACAUGAUCCUAAGACUUGAUUUGU
Molecule: long non-coding RNA, 1361 nt
Organism: Leopardus geoffroyi (Geoffroy's cat)
Lineage: Eukaryota; Metazoa; Chordata; Mammalia; Carnivora; Felidae
Exons: 2
Source: RefSeq, a predicted model, not a curated record